RNAcentral lists this unclassified non-coding RNA (211 nucleotides) under Hevea brasiliensis (rubber tree). Lineage: Eukaryota; Viridiplantae; Streptophyta; Magnoliopsida; Malpighiales; Euphorbiaceae. The record is from RNAcentral.
GUUACAAUCAAUCGUCUGUCCAAUGGUGAGGAGCCGAAUGAUCUCUCUGCAAGUAUGGAAAUGAUAUAUGGCGCAGACGAUUCUUGACGAACUCCAGAGGCAAAGAGAAUGGCCGGGUGGCGAGUCAUCACUUCUUACAAAGUUUGAUGCUAUUUUAUUGGUUGGUGGCUUCUUGUGAACAACUUUUAACAAAGGAGCAGGUAUAACUUCG